Cydia fagiglandana is the source of this 567-nucleotide long non-coding RNA. RefSeq lists it as uncharacterized. The transcript is spliced from 4 exons. The record is from RefSeq and is a predicted model, not a curated record. NCBI's taxonomy places the organism in Eukaryota, Metazoa, Arthropoda, Insecta, Lepidoptera, Tortricidae.
AAACCAACUUGAUGGCUGUCUACUACCCGGUGACAAGCUGAGCGGAGCAAAUUCCCAUUGUUGGCCACAAAGGCCCCUCCGAGUGCUUCGACACUACCCUAUGUUACCUGGAGGCUGACUUUGUCCCGGAGUGUCAAGGUGCCUUCACUGUACAUCUACUGACUGCUUCCAUUUAUGACAGCCUACCAAGACACUGCUGAUACAUGAAGACUCCUGUUUGCUGGCUUCACCUCAAGAAUUUUGCUGCAAAAUUGGCUGCUGUCUACAUGCAGAGCUACAAAAAAAAAUUGAACCCCCCGUUUUUCUUCACGUUAGGUAUCAAUGACACAAGAAGAUGGAUUUAUAGUUGUGAUAACACACAUCUUUAGCAGAGGAAUAUGAAAAGGAAUCCCUAACACCGCGAGCAGAGAACGAGUAAAAAUGUAGUACCAAACUCGUCAAGAGAUGACGCCACCUCCGAGAUAGAACGCGCCAACGAUGUGUCGACGUAUAAUCAUGGCGUCCGAGAUACAAAUUACCGAUCGAUUUAGAAUUUUUGGAGAAGAUUAGUGCCUGUUGACUGCAUAA